CCCUCCCUCCCUUUCUUUCUCUUUCUCUCUCUCUUUCCUUUCUUCCUCUCCCCUCCUUUCUCCUUCUUUUUCUUUCUUUUCUUUCUCUUUUUUCCUUUCUUCCUCUCUUUUCCUCCCUUUCUUUUUUUUUUCUCUCUCUCUCCUUUCUUCCUCUCUCCUUCCCUCCCUUUCUCCUUCUUUUUUUCUCUUUUCCUCUCUUUUUCUUCCUCUCUCCUUUCCUCCCUUUCUCCUUCUUUUCUUUCUCUUUCUUUCUCUCUCUUUCCUUUCUUCCUCUCUCCUUUCCUCCCUUUCUCCUUCUUUUCUUUCUCUUUCUUUCUCUCUCUUUCCUUUCUUCCUCUCUCCUUUCCUCCCUUUCUCCUUCUUUUCUUUCUCUUUCUUUCUCUCUCUUUCCUUUCUUCCUCUCUCCUUUCCUCCCUUUCUCCUUCUUUUCUUUCUCUUUCUUUCUCUCUCUUUCCUUUCUUCCUCUCUCCUUUCCUCCCUUUCUCCUUCUUUUCUUUCUCUUUCUUUCUCUCUCUCUCCUUUCUUCCUCUCUCCUUUCCUCCCUUUCUCCUUCUUUUCUUUCUCUUUCUUUCUCUCUCUUUCCUUUCUUCCUCUCUCCUUUCCUCCCUUUCUCCUUCUUUUCUUUCUCUUUCUUUCUCUCUCUUUCCUUUCUUCCUCUCUCCUUUCCUCCCUUUCUCCUUCUUUUCUUUCUCUUUCUUUCUCUCUCUUUCCUUUCUUCCUCUCUCCUUUCCUCCCUUUCUCCUUUUCUUUCUCUUUCUUUCUCUCUCUUUCCUUUCUUCCUCUCUCCUUUCCUCCCUUUCUCCUUCUUUUCUUUCUCUUUCUUUCUCUCUCUUUCCUUUCUUCCUCUCUCCUUUCCUCCCUUUCUCCUUCUUUUCUUUCUCUUUCUUUCUCUCUCUUUCCUUUCUUCCUCUCUCCUUUCCUCCCUUUCUCCUUCUUUUCUUUCUCUUUCUUUCUCUCUCUUUCCUUUCUUCCUCUCUCCUUUCCUCCCUUUCUCCUUCUUUUCUUUCUCUUUCUUUCUCUCUCUCUCCUUUCUUCCUCUCUCCUUUCCUCCCUUUCUCCUUCUUUUCUUUCUCUUUCUUUCUCUCUCUUUCCUUUCUUCCUCUCUCCUUUCCUCCCUUUCUCCUUCUUUUCUUUCUCUUUCUUUCUCUCUCUUUCCUUUCUUCCUCUCUCCUUUCCUCCCUUUCUCCUUCUUUUCUUUCUCUUUCUUUCUCUCUCUUUCCUUUCUUCCUCUCUCCUUUCCUCCCUUUCUCCUUCUUUUCUUUCUCUUUCUUUCUCUCUCUUUCCUUUCUUCCUCUCUCCUUUCCUCCCUUUCUCCUUCUUUUCUUUCUCUUUCUUUCUCUCUCUUUCCUUUCUUCCUCUCUCCUUUCCUCCCUUUCUCCUUCUUUUCUUUCUCUUUCUUUCUCUCUCUUUCCUUUCUUCCUCUCUCCUUUCCUCCCUUUCUCCUUCUUUUCUUUCUCUUUCUUUCUCUCUCUUUCCUUUCUUCCUCUCUCCUUUCCUCCCUUUCUCCCUCUUUUCUUUCUCUUUCUUUCUCUCUCUUUCCUUUCUUCCUCUCUCCUUUCCUCCCUUUCUCCUUCUUUUCUUUCUCUUUCUUUCUCUCUCUUUCCUUUCUUCCUCUCUCCUUUCCUCCCUUUCUCCUUCUUUUCUUUCUCUUUCUUUCUCUCUCUCUCCUUUCUUCCUCUCUCCUUUCCUCCCUUUCUCCUUUUCUUUCUCUUUCUUUCUUCCUCUCUCCUUUCCUCCCUCUUUCCCUCCCUCCCUCCGUCCCUGCCGUUUUAUUCUCAGUUCGGGGCCCUAUUUUCUAAGAUGGUAAGUUUCAGAGCGGAGGGGGAGCGGAAGUUUUCUCCAGGAAACAACUGA
This 1854-nucleotide long non-coding RNA is filed under the name Sarcophilus harrisii (Tasmanian devil). RNAcentral describes it as "lncRNA (ENSSHAG00000025871.1)". Lineage: Eukaryota; Metazoa; Chordata; Mammalia; Dasyuromorphia; Dasyuridae. The record is from RNAcentral.